AGGACGAACGCUGGCGGCGCGCCUAAUACAUGCAAGUCGAACGGGCACCUCCGGGUGCUAGUGGCGGACGGGUGAGUAACACGUGGGUGAUCUGCCUUUCGGUGGGGAAUAACUCUGGGAAACCAGAGCUAAUACCGCAUAUGCUCCAAAUUUCACUAUUUGGAGUAAAGAUCUAUUGCCGAGAGAGGAGCCUGCGCCGGAUUAGCUAGUCGGUGGGGUAACGGCUUACCGAGGCGACGAUCCGUAGCUGGUCUGAGAGGACGACCAGCCACACUGGGACUGAGACACGGCCCAGACUCCUACGGGAGGCAGCAGUAAGGAAUAUUCCACAAUGGGCGCAAGCCUGAUGGAGCGACGCCGCGUGAGCGAAGAAGCCCUUCGGGUGUAAAGCUCUUUUCACAGGGAUGAGCAAGGACAGUACCUGUGGAAUAAGCCCGGCUAACUACGUGCCAGCAGCCGC
RNAcentral lists this ribosomal RNA (460 nucleotides) under uncultured bacterium. RNAcentral's name for it is "SSU rRNA". It matches the Rfam family "Bacterial small subunit ribosomal RNA", at positions 26 to 518 of the family's 1533-position model. The record is from RNAcentral.